AUGCAAAGAACUUUGAAAAGAGAGUUAAAGAGUACCUGAAAUUGCUGAAAGGGAAGCGAAGGAAACCAGUGCUUGUUCUACUAUUUUUCUCCUACUGCUUGCAGUUGGGGCGCUGUGGUAGUUCUGAUGCCAGCAUGGGUUGGGCUCGGGAUAAGUAGCCAUGCAGAAGGUGAGUUCUUUGGAACUGAAGACUGCUUGGUGUUAUCUUGGGCUUGACUGAGGCUAGUCACUUGUGCUCGUGAUGCUGGCAAAAUGGUUUUCUUUACCCCGUCUUGAAACACGGACCAAGGAGUCUAACAUAUGUGCGAGUAUAGAGGUGUUAAACCUCCAUGCGUAAUGAAAGUAACAGUGGUAGGACCUUUUGGGCACUAUCCACCGGCCACAAUCCUUCGGGAGAAAGGUCUGAGUGUGAGCAUACAUGUUGGGACCCGAAAGAUGGUGAACUUUUCCUGAAUAGGGUGAAGCCAGGGGAAACUCUGGUGGAGGCUCGUAGCGAUUCUGACGUGCAAAUCGAUCGUCAAAUUGGGAAAA
Molecule: ribosomal RNA, 531 nt
Filed under: Chaetoceros didymus
Lineage: Eukaryota; Bacillariophyta; Thalassiosirophyceae; Chaetocerotales; Chaetocerotaceae
Description: partial large subunit ribosomal RNA
Rfam family: Eukaryotic large subunit ribosomal RNA
Source: RNAcentral